AGGACGAACGCUGGCGGCGUGCUUAACACAUGCAAGUCGAACGGUGAUGGUGGGAGCUUGCUCCUACCGGAUCAGUGGCGAACGGGUGAGUAACACGUGAGUAACCUGCCCCAGACUCUGGAAUAACCCCGGGAAACCGGUGCUAAUACCGGAUACGAGACGAAGCUGCAUGGCUAUCGUCUGGAAAGUUUUUCGGUCUGGGAUGGACUCGCGGCCUAUCAGCUUGUUGGUGAGGUAAUGGCUCACCAAGGCGACGACGGGUAGCCGGCCUGAGAGGGCGACCGGCCACGACUGGGACUGAGACACGGCCCAGACUCCUACGGGAGGCAGCAGUGGGGAAUAUUGCACAAUGGGCGAAAGCCUGAUGCAGCGACGCCGCGUGAGGGAUGACGGCCUUCGGUUGUAAACCUCUUUCAGCAGGAGAAGCGAAAGUGACGGUACUGCAGAAGAAGCACCGCUAACACGUGCCGAGCCACGCCGAC
This 482-nucleotide ribosomal RNA is filed under the name uncultured soil bacterium. RNAcentral describes it as "bacterial SSU rRNA". It matches the Rfam family "Bacterial small subunit ribosomal RNA", at positions 26 to 524 of the family's 1533-position model. The record is from RNAcentral.